Malus domestica (apple) is the source of this 1124-nucleotide RNA transcript. RefSeq lists it as uncharacterized. NCBI's taxonomy places the organism in Eukaryota, Viridiplantae, Streptophyta, Magnoliopsida, Rosales, Rosaceae. The record is from RefSeq and is a predicted model, not a curated record.
UCCGAACACCAGUUUCUCAAACCCUUCGUCUCCUCUCUCUCUCUCUCUCUCUCUCUCUCUCUCCCCCGAGACAUGGUGGCAUCGUCCUCAUCGUUGUCUGAGUACUCCUCGGACUCCUCCUUGUCAUCUUCGUCUGCAUCUCGCCGUCGACAUCGUCGCCACAACCGCAGUCGCCGAGACAAAGACCAGGAGAAAGACAAAGAUGCCCUCAAGAUACGAAAAAAGAUCAGUCGUUCCAACACCAAACGACGCCGCAGACACCGCCACCGCUACUCCUCGUCGGAUUCUUACUCUUCCUCCUCUCCUUCCGAUUCCAGAAGUGAUAGUUCUUCGGACAGUGAGCUUGAAACAUCUAGUAAGUCAAAGAAGCGCAAGAAGAGUGACAGACAUAAGAAGAGCAAGGAAAAGGACCAGAGCAAGAGUCAUCGCCAUAAACAUCAAAGGAAACUCAAAGAGUACUUUCUGCCUGUUUUAUGGAUUGGCUCUUCCAAAAUUGGAGCUGGGGUCUGUGGCAUGGUGCUGGGUACUUAUUGGCUUGCCUGGAUAAUGUGUCUGGAUUGUGUUUUUUCCUGGCAAUGGGAGCCAUAUAUAGAAACAGAAGAAUGAGAGAAGUAGCGGCCCUGUUCAGCUUUCAAAGUUAUUGGGGCGUGACAAAGAUGAUGGAGUUCGUCGCAGUGCUGUCUCUGGAAAAAAGAUUCUACUGAAACUUGAGAAGACAAAGGAGGACAAGGCGGCUGAAGACAAAAGGAAUGAAUUGCUGAAGUUCUUAAAUGCUAGUUUUGAUUGAUGUUGUGGAGUCCAUGCAUGGAAUCAACAAGUGAAUGAAGGAGUUGAGUAAGUUCCAGCUACUCGCUUAUAUCUUAAUGAUUUUGAAAUGAUUUUCUCCGAGUUCGAAGCGCAGUCAUAUCUUGUACUUGUGUUUGCCAAUUAGAGUGGUUGAAAAGCUGUGGUUUGGGCGUUGUAUUAGUAUUCAUUUGGUACUUGUCAUUAUAUAUUAUUUUAUAUCGAGGAUUCACCGAAGUAAGCUUUCAAAUUUGAUCAAUGUAGCAAACUUAUUAACUCUCCUUGAUGAUUUGCCUGUGCAGCAUGCUACCAACGAGAUUAAUUGAUGUAUUUGUAAGGAG